GUGACGACUCCAGGCUAACUGACUUAUGACGAGGGAUCUAAACGCUGA
RNAcentral lists this small nucleolar RNA (48 nucleotides) under Pyrobaculum islandicum DSM 4184. Its description in RNAcentral is "PISsR121". Lineage: Archaea; Thermoproteati; Thermoproteota; Thermoprotei; Thermoproteales; Thermoproteaceae. The record is from RNAcentral.